Molecule: ribosomal RNA, 253 nt
Filed under: uncultured bacterium
Lineage: Bacteria
Description: partial 16S ribosomal RNA
Rfam family: Bacterial small subunit ribosomal RNA
Source: RNAcentral
UACGUAGGGUGCGAGCGUUAAUCGGAAUUACUGGGCGUAAAGCGUGCGCAGGCGGCUUUGCAAGACAGAUGUGAAAUCCCCGGGCUCAACCUGGGAACUGCAUUUGUAACUGCAAGGCUAGAGUACGGCAGAGGGGGAUGGAAUUCCGCGUGUAGCAGUGAAAUGCGUAGAUAUGCGGAGGAACACCAAUGGCGAAGGCAAUCCCUUGGGCCUGUACUGACGCUCAUGCACGAAAGCGUGGGGAGCAAACAGG